RNAcentral lists this ribosomal RNA (440 nucleotides) under uncultured bacterium. RNAcentral's name for it is "partial 16S ribosomal RNA". It matches the Rfam family "Bacterial small subunit ribosomal RNA", at positions 338 to 795 of the family's 1533-position model. The record is from RNAcentral.
CCUACGGGUGGCAGCAGUAGGGAAUAUUGCACAAUGGUGGAAAGCCUGAUGCAGCAACGCCGCGUGGGGGAUGAAGGCCUUCGGAUCGUAAACUCCUUUUCUCAGAGAAGAUAAUGACGGUACUUAACGAAUAAGCCCCGGCUAACUCCGUGCCAGCAGCCGCGGUAAUACGUAGGGUGCAAGCGUUACUCGGAAUCACUGGGCGUAAAGAGUGCGUAGGUGGGAUUUUAAGUCAGAUGUGAAAACCUAUGGCUUAACCAUUGUAAAGCAUUUGAAAUUGUGAUACUUGAGUCUAGGAGAGGUGAGUGGAAUUCUUAGUGUAGCGGUGAAAUGCGUAGAGAUCAAGAGGAAUACUCGUUGCGAAGGCGACCUGCUAGAAUGUAACUGACACUGAGGCGCGAAAGCGUGGGGAGCAAACAGGAUUAGAUACCCGUGUAGUC